Molecule: ribosomal RNA, 537 nt
Filed under: Aspergillus flavus
Lineage: Eukaryota; Fungi; Ascomycota; Eurotiomycetes; Eurotiales; Aspergillaceae
Description: eukaryotic LSU rRNA
Rfam family: 5.8S ribosomal RNA (bases 168-321)
Source: RNAcentral
CUAGCGAGCCCAACCUCCCACCCGUGUUUACUGUACCUUAGUUGCUUCGGCGGGCCCGCCAUUCAUGGCCGCCGGGGGCUCUCAGCCCCGGGCCCGCGCCCGCCGGAGACACCACGAACUCUGUCUGAUCUAGUGAAGUCUGAGUUGAUUGUAUCGCAAUCAGUUAAAACUUUCAACAAUGGAUCUCUUGGUUCCGGCAUCGAUGAAGAACGCAGCGAAAUGCGAUAACUAGUGUGAAUUGCAGAAUUCCGUGAAUCAUCGAGUCUUUGAACGCACAUUGCGCCCCCUGGUAUUCCGGGGGGCAUGCCUGUCCGAGCGUCAUUGCUGCCCAUCAAGCACGGCUUGUGUGUUGGGUCGUCGUCCCCUCUCCGGGGGGGACGGGCCCCAAAGGCAGCGGCGGCACCGCGUCCGAUCCUCGAGCGUAUGGGGCUUUGUCACCCGCUCUGUAGGCCCGGCCGGCGCUUGCCGAACGCAAAUCAAUCUUUUCCAGGUUGACCUCGGAUCAGGUAGGGAUACCCGCUGAACUUAAGCAUAUCA